AUUGACUUGGACAAUAAAAUAAUUAUUUUAUG
Molecule: ribosomal RNA, 32 nt
Filed under: Rhizoctonia solani
Lineage: Eukaryota; Fungi; Basidiomycota; Agaricomycetes; Cantharellales; Ceratobasidiaceae
Description: partial 28S ribosomal RNA
Source: RNAcentral